This 735-nucleotide ribosomal RNA is filed under the name uncultured bacterium. RNAcentral's name for it is "bacterial SSU rRNA". It matches the Rfam family "Bacterial small subunit ribosomal RNA", at positions 771 to 1501 of the family's 1533-position model. The record is from RNAcentral.
AACAGGAUUAGAUACCCUGGUAGUCUAUGCUGUAAACGGUGGGCGCUAGGUGUGAGUCCCUUCCACGGGGUUUGUGCCGUAGCUAACGCUUUAAGCGCCCCGCCUGGGGAGUACGGCCGCAAGGCUAAAACUCAAAGGAAUUGACGGGGGCCCGCACAAGCGGCGGAGCAUGUGGAUUAAUUCGAUGCAACGCGAAGAACCUUACCUGGGCUUGACAUAUGUGAGAUUGGGCUAGAGAUAGUUCGUCCCUUGUGGCUCAUUUACAGGUGGUGCAUGGUUGUCGUCAGCUCGUGUCGUGAGAUGUUGGGUUAAGUCCCGCAACGAGCGCAACCCUUGUCUUAUGUUGCCAGCACGUUGUGGUGGGGACUCGUGAGAGACUGCCGGGGUUAACUCGGAGGAAGGUGGGGAUGACGUCAAAUCAUCAUGCCCCUUAUGUCCAGGGCUUCACACAUGCUACAAUGGCUGGUACAGUGCGUGUGCGACACCGUGAGGUGGAGCUAAUCGCGAAAGCCAGUCUCAGUUCGGAUUGGGGUCUGCAACUCGACCCCAUGAAGUCGGAGUCGCUAGUAAUCGCAGAUCAGCAGUGCUGCGGUGAAUACGUUCCCGGGCCUUGUACACACCGCCCGUCACGUCAUGAAAGUUGGUAACACCCGAAGCCCAUGGCCCAACCGGUUUUCCGGGGGGAGUGGUCGAAGGUGGGAUUGGCGAUUGGGACGAAGUCGUAACAAGGUAACC